AGUGAACGCUGGCGGUAGGCCUAACACAUGCAAGUCGAACGGCAGCACAGUAAGAGCUUGCUCUUACGGGUGGCGAGUGGCGGACGAGUGAGGAAUACAUCGGAAUCUACUUUUUCGUGGGGGAUAACGUAGGGAAACUUACGCUAAUACCGCAUACGACCUACGGGUGAAAGCAGGGGAUCUUCGGACCUUGCGCGAUUGAAUGAGCCGAUGUCGGAUUAGCUAGUUGGCGGGGUAAAGGCCCACCAAGGCGACGAUCCGUAGCUGGUCUGAGAGGAUGAUCAGCCACACUGGAACUGAGACACGGUCCAGACUCCUACGGGAGGCAGCAGUGGGGAAUAUUGGACAGUGGGCGCAAGCCUGAUCCAGCCAUACCGCGUGGGUGAAGAAGGCCUUCGGGUUGUAAAGCCCUUUUGUUGGGAAAGAAAAGCAGCAGGUUAAUACCCCGCUGUUCUGACGGUACCCAAAGAAUAAGCACCGGCUAACUUCGU
This 491-nucleotide ribosomal RNA is filed under the name uncultured bacterium. RNAcentral's name for it is "partial 16S ribosomal RNA". It matches the Rfam family "Bacterial small subunit ribosomal RNA", at positions 29 to 506 of the family's 1533-position model. The record is from RNAcentral.